Molecule: ribosomal RNA, 117 nt
Organism: Eutrema salsugineum
Lineage: Eukaryota; Viridiplantae; Streptophyta; Magnoliopsida; Brassicales; Brassicaceae
Source: Rfam
GGGUGCGAUCAUAUCAGCACUAAUAAUGGAUCCCAUCAGAACACCGCAGUUAAGCGUGCUUGGGCGAGAGUAGUACUAGGAUGGGUGACCUCUUGGGAAGUCCUCGUGUUGCACCCC